CGAGUCUAUAAGACUCGAGGAAAGUCCGAGCUCCAUAGGGCAGGAUGCCAGAUAACGUCUGGCGAGGGUAACCUUAGGGAAAGUGCCAUAGAAAAGGAAACCGCCACGUAAGUGGUAAGGGUGGAAAGGUGAGGUAAGAGCUCACCAGCAGUCUGGUAACAGGCUGGCUCUAUAUUUAACAUAUAAUUGAUAG
RNAcentral lists this RNase P RNA (193 nucleotides) under Veillonella sp. RNAcentral describes it as "RNase P RNA component class A". It matches the Rfam family "Bacterial RNase P class A", at positions 20 to 205 of the family's 367-position model. From Rfam's summary of the family: Ribonuclease P (RNase P) is a ubiquitous endoribonuclease, found in archaea, bacteria and eukarya as well as chloroplasts and mitochondria. Its best characterised activity is the generation of mature 5'-ends of tRNAs by cleaving the 5'-leader elements of precursor-tRNAs. The record is from RNAcentral. Lineage: Bacteria; Bacillati; Bacillota; Negativicutes; Veillonellales; Veillonellaceae.